Molecule: long non-coding RNA, 2423 nt
Filed under: Callithrix jacchus (white-tufted-ear marmoset)
Lineage: Eukaryota; Metazoa; Chordata; Mammalia; Primates; Cebidae
Description: lncRNA (ENSCJAG00000076957.1)
Source: RNAcentral
UGGUUUUUGUCUUUGGUUCUGUUUAUGUGGUGGAUUACAUUUAUAGAUUUGCAUAUGUUGAACCAGGCUUGCAUCCCCCAGGAUGAAGCCUGCUUGAUUGUGGUGGAUAAGCUUUUUGAUGUGCUGUCAGUUCAGUUUGCCAGUAUUUUAUUGAAGAUUUUUGCAUCUAUUUUCAUCAUGGAUAUUGGCCUGUUGUUUUCUUUUUUAGUGCAGUUUUUUUUUUUUUUUAGACAGAGUCUUGCUCUGUCGCCAGGAGAUAGGCUGGAAUGCAGUGGCUCAAUCUCAGCUCACCACAAUCUUCACCUCCUGGGUUCAAGCAAUUCUCCUGCCUCAGCCUCCUGAGUAGCUGGGACCACAGGUGUGUGCCACCACACCCAGCUAAUUUUUGUAUUUUUUAGUAGAGAUGGGGUUUCACCAUGUUGGCCAGGAUGGUCUCGAUCUCUUGACCUCGUGAUCCGCCCACCUCGGCCUUCCGAAGUGCUGGGCUUGUAGGCGUGAGUCACCGCACCCAGCCUUGGUGCAGUUUUUUUACCUGUCAAUGCUAAGACUAGGUUCCGCUGUGGGCGUGCUCCUCAUUAACGGUGAUGAUGUAGGAGAAAAGAGAGACAGAGGAACCACCGUAGUUUGCACAGGCGUGGCUGCAUCUCAUUUUAUCAGUCUCCUGAGGUUUCAUUAAAGAGACCUUAGGAAAGUUUAGAUCCAAGCUUAGCUAGGGAAAGUGUUUUACAUUCUUCUCUGAAGGAGGAUUGGCGCUCUGUGAAUAAGGACAGUCAAUUCUGCAGUGAACAGUCGAUUCACAAAUCAUUUCUGUUCUUCUCAGAGUGGGCCAUUUGCUGGUUUAGGGCAGAGCCUCUCCCUCAGUGGGUGCAGUUGGCACUCUGGAACAGGAUGGGAGGAGUUAAAGGUGGGACACCUGCCACGUGCUGUCACUUACCAGCCAAGCUAGUCCUUGGGCUUCAGCAUCUCUAGGUUGGUAAGUCCCUGCCAGCUUUCCUAUAGAGCGGCCACACAGAUUGAAUGAGGCUCACACAUACUUUUCAAGUGUAAGUGAACACAUUCUCACUUCAGUAGUUAAAAGCAAAGCCAAAGAACGAACUUAGACAAAUCAUUUUGCUUCAAAUGCUUCUGGUUUGCAAUAUAAGUAAGGGCCAGUGGAAACACAAUUCACAAAGCUGCUCAUUGUUUUUUCUGGAUCACAGACACCCCCUGGUGCUGAGUUCAUACCUUUUGACUUAGGUCCCUGGUAAGAACCAAGCCCCAGCCAGGGAUAGUGUGAACCAUGGAACCACUGGCAAGCUGUGUAAUGAAUCCUGUACAUUUUGACUUCAAUCACAUGAGUUACGUUAGGUGUUUGUUGGCCUUGGUAUCUUGAUCAGGACUAUUCCCUUGUGAAAGUGCUACUUGGGUUUGGCUUGCUGAUGUUGGCAAUGUAAAUAUGACUUAAUUGAUUAAUAGCAUUAAUGACUAGCAAUUACAGCACAACCUGUUAGCUGGAAAUAACUCACAAAACAAGCACCACAUUGUUAUUUAGCCUGUAUGUGGAGGAACAGCUUUGCUUCUGCUGAUUGCUCACCUGGCUUAGGGGCACAGUCCCAUUGGAGAGUCAGUUGCCUUUUGCAAUGUGGGUUAUAAAUAAAUAAAAUACACAUAUUAAUAUGUUACUUAGGAUCCAUUUAUUGCCCUUUCUUCCACUGAGAAAACUGAUCUUUGUCAAUAUGAAAUUAGCCCAUAAUCUCUGAUCAGAAGGUCAUCUACCGAGGAGAAAGCCCUCUCCUGAGGUUGGCAUAGGUAGUCUACUUCAGGAGGCUUCACUGUCUAAAAUUCUGGGCUUCUACUGCAUUCAUCCUUCUUUGAUUAUCGAAAACUUUUCUCUGCAGCUAACACUCAGGAACAAUGCAAUAAGUAACUUCCAAUUAAAGUUUUCCAUAUGUGGCAAAAAUUGUAAUGAAUGAAUAAGUAAAGACCGCAUAAUGAAAGCCUAUUAGCCAAGUGAAUAUACUCUUUUAAGUCAAAUUUCUAUACCACUUUUGUAUUAUCUCCCAUCAGAAGAGAACGUGCAAUUACCAAUUUUAUCUUAUCUCAGCUUAUUAUUAAAGAGUAGUAAAGGAAACUUCAUUCCAGGAGCCAUAAUGUGAUUUUUGAUUAAUAGGGGGUUUUUAUGUGACAAGAAUAUUUCUCCUAGGUAAAGUAUGUGCAUGGAUUCCCGCCUGAGCUGGCUUGGAAGCUACAUCUCCAGUGGAACUACUGUUCAACAAUAGCACAUAUGUUUCUACAUGGGAGGUCAGAUUCUUAACGUACUCCAAAGCACCAGAAGGGUAGGAAGAAGUUGUCUUGGACCUUGCAGACACAAAUUUUUAUUUAGUUGGUUCUAAUUAUAUCAAAUGUGACGUUGAUUUGCGUGUAAUAGGUAAGAUAAGCAGCCC